AGGCAAUGCCCCCUUAAGAAAAAAAGAAGAUGAUGAUUAGCAUGACCCCUGUGCAAGGAUGACAUACAAAUUCGUGAAGUGUUACAUAUUUUA
RNAcentral lists this small nuclear RNA (93 nucleotides) under Mus spicilegus (steppe mouse). Lineage: Eukaryota; Metazoa; Chordata; Mammalia; Rodentia; Muridae. The record is from RNAcentral.